GAUGAACGCUAGCUACAGGCUUAACACAUGCAAGUCGAGGGGCAGCAUGAACUUAGCUUGCUAAGUUUGAUGGCGACCGGCGCACGGGUGAGUAACACGUAUCCAACCUUCCGUUUACUCAGGGAUAGCCUUUCGAAAGAAAGAUUAAUACCUGAUAGUAUGGUGAGAUUGCAUGAUAGCACCAUUAAAGAUUUAUUGGUAAACGAUGGGGAUGCGUUCCAUUAGGUAGUAGGCGGGGUAACGGCCCACCUAGCCGACGAUGGAUAGGGGUUCUGAGAGGAAGGUCCCCCACAUUGGAACUGAGACACGGUCCAAACUCCUACGGGAGGCAGCAGUGAGGAAUAUUGGUCAAUGGACGAGAGUCUGAACCAGCCAAGUAGCGUGAAGGAUGACUGCCCUAUGGGUUGUAAACUUCUUUUAUAUGGGAAUAAAGUAUUCCACGUGUGGGAUUUUGUAUGUACCAUAUGAAUAAGGAUCGGCUAACUCCGUGCCAGCAGCCGACGG
Molecule: ribosomal RNA, 504 nt
Filed under: uncultured bacterium
Lineage: Bacteria
Description: bacterial SSU rRNA
Rfam family: Bacterial small subunit ribosomal RNA
Source: RNAcentral